CCUACGGGCGGCAGCAGUGAGGAAUAUUGGUCAAUGGUCGGGAGACUGAACCAGCCAAGCCGCGUGAGGGAUGAAGGUACAGAGUAUCGUAAACCUCUUUUGUCAGGGAACAAAGGCGGGGACGUGUCCCCGGAUGAGUGUACCUGAAGAAAAAGCAUCGGCUAACUCCGUCCCAGCAGCCGCGGUAAUACGGAGGAUGCGAGCGUUAUCCGGAUUUAUUGGGUUUAAGGGGUGCGCAGGCGGUCUGUUAAGUCAUCGGUCAAACCCCGGGGUUCAACCCGGGCCCGCCGUUGAAACUGGCAGGCUCGAGUUGGAGAGAAGUAUGCGGAAUGCGCGGUGUAGCGGUGAAAUGCAGAGAUAUCGCGCAGAACUCCGAUUGCGAAGGCAGCAUGCCGGCUCCACACUGACGCUGAGGCACGAAAGCGUGGGUAUCGAACAGGAUUAGAUACCCUUGUAGUC
RNAcentral lists this ribosomal RNA (459 nucleotides) under uncultured bacterium. RNAcentral's name for it is "partial 16S ribosomal RNA". It matches the Rfam family "Bacterial small subunit ribosomal RNA", at positions 338 to 795 of the family's 1533-position model. The record is from RNAcentral.